UAGAUGGUAGUAUAACGAAUACUUUUCGCUUACACCGAAAAAUUGGUACAACCCCCCCUUCUA
This 63-nucleotide transfer RNA is filed under the name Margaritifera margaritifera (freshwater pearlshell mussel). RNAcentral's name for it is "tRNA-Val". Lineage: Eukaryota; Metazoa; Mollusca; Bivalvia; Unionida; Margaritiferidae. The record is from RNAcentral.